Molecule: ribosomal RNA, 498 nt
Filed under: uncultured bacterium
Lineage: Bacteria
Description: bacterial SSU rRNA
Rfam family: Bacterial small subunit ribosomal RNA
Source: RNAcentral
GGCUCAGGAUGAACGCUAGCUACAGGCUUUAACACAUGCAAGUCGAGGGGAAACGAUAUUGGAAGCUUGCUUCUGAUAGGCGUCGACCGGCGCACGGGUGAGUAACGCGUAUCCAACCUGCCCAUCACUUGGGGACAACCUUCGUGAAAGUAAGACUAAUACCCAAUGACGUCUCUAGAAGACAUCUGAAAGAGAUUAAAGAUUUAUCGGUGAUGGAUGGGGAUGCGUCUGAUUAGCUUGUUGGCGGGGUAACGGCCACCAAGGCGACGAUCAGUAGGGGUUCUGAGAGGAAGGUCCCCCACAUUGGAACUGAGACACGGUCCAAACUCCUACGGGAGGCAGCAGUGAGGAAUAUUGGUCAAUGGACGAGAGUCUGAACCAGCCAAGUAGCGUGCAGGAUGACGGCCCUAUGGGUUGUAAACUGCUUUAUAAGGGAAUAAAGUGGGAGUCGUGACUCUUUUGCAUGUACCUUAUGAAUAAGGACCGGCUAAUUCCGUG